CACACCUGGACUUCAUCACUACCUUGAUUACUUCCCCUUCAUCUAGCACUCUGUAGCCUCACUCAUCACGCAGUAUUGGUUCUGUUUUCUUGUCCAGACACUGCUUUUGAUUUAUAUCGCGCCAUGUACGUUAUUAUUAAACUCACCAAUUGCACCUGCUUCCAGACUCCCUGCAUCUCCAUUACAGAAUACUACCUCAGUAAAUGGAAGCAGCAUGUAAUCAAGACAUCUCCCAGAUCUCCUGCAGUAGAUGAGGGUUCAGGCGCACGGAGGAGGUUUGGAAUGAUGCCCAGGUGAGGCUCCAGCACGCCAUUCACCUCCAAAAGGAGCAGGCGGAUCACCAUUGCAUUGAGGCUCCCGUGUUCGCGUCUGGCUCUCCACCAGGAACCUCCCACUUCGCCUGCCCUGUAUGAAGCUGAGCCCCCAGGCCGUUGGUUUCUGGUCCCUUGGCUGAUGCCGUCCCCCAUGACACCCCUCCACCUCCCCUGGACAUCGAGGGGAGCCCUGCCUGUGCCAUCAGAUCCCUCCUGGAUUCCUGACAUCAUGGGGGACGGCUCCAGUAUCUGGUGGACUGGGAGGGGUACGGUCCAGAGGAGCGGUGUUGGGUCCUGGUGGACGAUAUUCUAGAUCCCGAGAUUUCCACCUUCGCCGCCCGGACCAGCCUGCUCCUUGCCCUUGGGGCCGUCCCCCUGGCCGGCAUCCCCCUGGACCACUGGUCCUGGCAACCAUUAUGCACACCUGCGCCUCAUCAUUAUGCACACCUGAACUUCAUCACUAUCUUGACUACUUCCCCUUUAUCUAGCACUCUGUAGCCUCACUCAUCAAGCAGUAUUGGUUCUGUUUUCUUGUACGGACACUUCUUUUGUUUUGUAUCUCUCCAUGUUCGUUAUUAUUAAACUCACCAACUGCACCUGC
Molecule: long non-coding RNA, 915 nt
Organism: Oncorhynchus keta (chum salmon)
Lineage: Eukaryota; Metazoa; Chordata; Actinopteri; Salmoniformes; Salmonidae
Exons: 2
Source: RefSeq, a predicted model, not a curated record